Molecule: small nuclear RNA, 87 nt
Organism: Tupaia belangeri (northern tree shrew)
Lineage: Eukaryota; Metazoa; Chordata; Mammalia; Scandentia; Tupaiidae
Gene: U4
Rfam family: U4 spliceosomal RNA
About the family: U4 small nuclear RNA (U4 snRNA) is a component of the major U2-dependent spliceosome. The structure of U4 snRNA from yeast and human has been reported. U4 snRNA presents a k-turn RNA motif in the 5p-SL related to recognition of Snu13 protein.
Source: Ensembl
NNNNUUGCGCAGUGGCAGUAUCGUAGCCAAUGAGGUUUAUCUGAGGCGCGAUUAUUGCUAAUUGAAAAAGGGGAUAACUAGAAUAGC